UUCCUUCCGAUCAAUGAGGUGUAACAGCCUCAUCAACUGGAAGGAAUCCCUUCCAGUCAAUGAGGUUGUUAUACCUCAUCAAACGGAAGGGGUUCCUUCCGGUUGAUGAGGUUGUUGUUUCUCAUUGACCAGAAGGAU
RNAcentral lists this microRNA precursor (138 nucleotides) under Puccinia graminis f. sp. tritici CRL 75-36-700-3. RNAcentral's name for it is "microRNA MIR807". Lineage: Eukaryota; Fungi; Basidiomycota; Pucciniomycetes; Pucciniales; Pucciniaceae. The record is from RNAcentral.